This 1720-nucleotide long non-coding RNA is filed under the name Fukomys damarensis (Damara mole-rat). RNAcentral's name for it is "lncRNA (ENSFDAG00000026855.1)". The record is from RNAcentral. Lineage: Eukaryota; Metazoa; Chordata; Mammalia; Rodentia; Bathyergidae.
GGCCGCAUGGGAACUGAAUCAAGUCCACACAGAGAGCACUGAGCUCAGCGUCGGAGUGUGAAAGCCAGGCCUCUGCUGUGAGCUUCCUGCUGCCUGGGUGGCUGGAAGUUGCUGCUAGCUGGGGAGAGGGACAGAGCGAUGGGGGAAGACAGGCCCCAGGACCGGACCGGCACUCAGAACCAGCGCCUUCCGGCUGCAGACCUUGUCCCUGAGAAUAAAAUCAGUCACACCGCUUUCCUAACUGCAAACCGUGUCUUCAAGGUACUCUAAACCCAGCCCGGAGGGACCUCAUCCCCCCUGCAGCGGAGACAGAAGCUCUGCGCCCCAAGUCCCCCCAGGUUGGGCAGAGAGGAGAGCUCAGGGGCCCAGGGACUUGCAGAAUGGAGCAGGCUGGGAAGCCCCUGCAGGCUGGGGAUGGGGGCGGCAGAUUGCUGGGCCCCCCUUAGAGUUUCGGCUCAGCAAGCCUGGGGGUGGGAGUUGGCCUCGCUCAAUGCCCUCUAAGUGUGAGCAACAGCGACAUCUGGUGGUGAGGACUGGAAGGAACCCGAGCCACCAGCCAGCUGGGGUGACAGGACCCACAGGUGGGGGCCUAGGAGCCUGUCCCGCAGGGUGCAGGAGAGAGAGGCUCACAGCACCAGGCCCCUGUGUGCCUCACUACCCUAGACACGGGCAAACCUAAUUCUGGGCUGCAGAACGUGUAUCUUUAUUUCAGAAUACAGCAGACCCUCAACUUAGGACCGUCCUGACAUACGAACAACUUCGUUACUUAGGUUAAUGGAAGACUCACUCAUCUGCCUCUUGCUAUCUAUAGUGUGUGCCCAGGUAAACAUCCAGAUUUCAGCCGUACUGAUUUACAACCACCUUGAGUUACAACCAGACCUUGGGGACUGACCAAGGCUGUGAGUCAAGGUUGCACUAUGUUGAUUCUUAUUUUUGUGAAUCACUUUCUUCCCUGGUGAAGAAAGCCCUGCAGGAUGAAGGCCUGGAAGUGCCCAGCUGGGGAUGGUUUGGCGCCCGAGCCAGGAGCCAGGAGCCAGGAGCCGGAAGUCCGACUCCGUGCCCAGGGCGGAGGGGUGUUUCCCGCACAGACUGUUACCCCUGUUGGUUCCGCAUCAUCUUGGCUUCCGACCGACAGGGCUCAGGGAGUGAUCUGGGGGCAGGCAGAGAAACAAGCGGUGAUUCCUGCUGGCCACGGCGGUGCCACCUGCAGCAGGAGGUCCAGGCCUAGCGACCGCCAAGGUGCAGGCAUCUCAGCAGCCAGGAAGAGCGGACCCCAUGGCACACGGCCCAGGCCCGCAGGGUGCACAUCUGCCACGGGGUCUCUGUGUCCUUGCUGUGUGCUCCCCAGGCUGGCCCCGCUGAGCCCAAGGAGCAGCAGGCGGCUCAGGUGGGUGAAAGAGACAAGCAGUGGGCACUGGUGAGGGAAGUGGGGUCGUGGGCGUAGGGGGCGAGUUCCCACCCCGCGCUCUUUGGACGCCGUCAAGAUGGUUGCGACUGCACCUGUUUCCCUGCCGUAGGUGGUGCUGCUGGACAAGAUCGGGAGACAGGAGUUACUUCACGUGGUACUCAACGCAUCCCUUCAGUGCGCACUGGGACUUUCUCAGGCUGGGGGUGCCACUCGGAGCUGGAGGGGUAGCUCAGCGAGGCCUGCACAAGGCCCUGGGGUUGAUCCCCAGCACUAAAAAACAAACAAACUAACUAACUUGCCUAGAACAUGGCA